UUUGAGCAAAAAAAUUAAGCUUAUUUAAAAUAUGGACCGGUUUCAGGCUCGAAUAUUCAAGGCUUGAGCUUAGCCCGUUGUAAUAGCCCAAAUCUGCCCGGGCCCAUGGUCAAAUAAAUAAAACCAAAAAUAGAAAAUAAAUGAAUAUCUAUUUUAAACAGUCCAUAUAAAGUCCAAUUUACAAAAGCCCAAACACAGGCCCAAAUACCUUCGACCCGUUAUACCCAAACAGACCGGCUACAACCCAAUAGCCUAGACUACCCGUGUACCCUAAUAACCCCGUAGCCUAACUUAAACUAGACAGAUCCAGGACUAAAGUGACCCAACUGGCCCAAAACAUUACACCAAGGCAGGAAACCUUAGGGUUUCUGCCUUCUUUCUCCUCGAGCCGCCACUAAUUUUAGAAGGUUUAGGGAGCGUCUGUCUAGCUCCCAAAUCGAGGCCACCAUUCAAGGCUCUGCCUCCGUAAUCAGCGCCUCACAGUCACCACGAAUCAUCACCACCAGACUUCAGGCCUCCAUCAACGCCAGCAGCCCUUGAACCACCGAGAUCCUUGCGGUCACCUGCAAGAAAAGGAAAGAAAUCAAAGCAAUAUUGUAGUAAAUAGAUUAGAACAGAGUUUGGAAAGAAAUCUUUCGAUUUCUUUCCAAAAUAGGCAGUAAAUCAAGGCUAUAAAGCCUUUUCUCAAAUCUGUAAAAAAAGGAGGCGAAUACACACAAGCAUAGAGAGAAACACAUCACAAAAAGCAUUGUACACCAAACCUUUGCAAUAAUAUUUCAGAAUGUGAUUAUUUUUCAUAUUCUUCUUUUUUGUUUUCUUUUUUUACGAAUAUAUGAAUCGUUUUUAAAAAAAAAAUAGUAACGUUUAAAAGAAAAAGGGUUACCUGUGGAAGGACGAAGGUUUUAGACCCUCAGACCACCGUGUACAACGGCGCGUGGGCGCGUGUAGGACUGAUGACCGGAGCGUGGCCUGCGGAGGCCAGAGCCCGGAGGACCUCUCCUCUCCCCUCUUUCAGAGGGUUUUUA
This 1025-nucleotide long non-coding RNA is filed under the name Gossypium barbadense (sea-island cotton). RNAcentral's name for it is "long non-coding RNA (GBAR_LNC008629)". Lineage: Eukaryota; Viridiplantae; Streptophyta; Magnoliopsida; Malvales; Malvaceae. The record is from RNAcentral.